GGUGGGGGGUGGGGGGAGUUGGGGCAGUGGCAGCAGGGACGGUGAAGGGCGAGAGUGGGAGGCAGGGGUAGGGGGCCCCUCAGCAGGGGCCUGGUGUACCCCAUAGGGAUAGCUGGAUGGGGUGGGGAACAGAUAGUUAGGUAGCACCAAGGCCACCACUGGGGUUACCAGGGGGGUAGAGAAGGUGGCAGGGGGCACAGAGGUGGGGGCAGUGGGAAGAGGCUGGGGACCUCCCUCGGGGGAGAACACUGGGACGGGGUAGGGCUGGACCACUGCUGGAAAGGGGGUAGUGGCUGGUGGGGGUGGCCAGGGGCCAGAGGGCGGUACAGGUGAGGGGUGGGGGACAUAGCAGGGGGCUUCCAGCACGGGAGGUCUGAUGGCGGCGUGAGCGCUUGGCUUUGGAUCGGCAGUGGUGUCGGCGGCUGGGGGCGUGGGGCCAUGGUGGCAGCCUGUAGGGAGAGAGUAGGUUAGUGCAUGGGACUCAGCCUGGGUAUUAGUGUCCCUACUACCCGAACUGUCCUGACACUGUGACCAGGGAGAGGGCAGGCAAAGGCCCCAGAGAGAAUUCUCAGCCCACACAGAACACAGGGGACUCAGGAGGUGGCGGCACCUUCAUGAAAGAAUCACAGCAGCCAGGGAUAGGGGGUUUAUUGAGAAAGGAGCCAGAAAAAGGCAAGGGUACAUGAGGGGUCAAGAUGGACAUGUGCAAAAGGCAGAGGCAGAGGCACUGGCAGAUGGGAAGAGGCAGAGUGGGUCCGGUGAACAGGUAGGCGGUUCCAGUCCAUCUGCCAAAAUCCUGCAGGCACUGUCAGCCUGGAUACUCCUGCCAGUCAAGGCUGUGAUCUGCCUAGCUCACAACAGAGUGAAGAGGUGGUCAGGAAAACAUGAGCCCAAGUCUGGAGUUCUGUAUCUACCUCUACACCUGUACAGGGCCUCCCUUGGGCAGCUGGAGGGGGUGUCUUCCUUUUCUCCUUGAAACCCUGACCCCACCCAGAGCUGGCCCAGAGUCUAUGUAGAUCUCUUGAUCAGCUGGCCAACUGAGUCCUAGGGGAGCAUACUUCCUGCCCCUGCCCCUAGGCUAGGGCCUGAAGUAGCUUACCUGGAAUAGAGUACCUCUGACUACCCAUCUAAAUGCCUAGCAGGGGAGAGGCUACCAAGGGACCUGCCCCUAGGUACAGCCCUAGUAGCAGAAACAGCACCAGCCUGGGUCCCCCCGAGCAGAAACAUUUCCCUCAAGGCCCAUCCCUGACAGUCUGGCCCUAGACUGGGCAGAGGACAGCUCAGGGAACCCCCAGGAGGCUACCCCGCUCCCCAGGGGCCGAGGGGGCUGUGGAAGAGCCGUCAAGUCCACGUAGCCGGCCAAGGUCUCGGAAGCGGCUGAGGAAGGCUUGCUCUUCCCUUCUGUGUGUGCAGGGACAGCACGGCCUUGGUCAGGCCCACUGGGCGGUAGGCAUCUGGGGCUGGGUCAGGAGCUACUGUGGGGCUGGGGGCCGGGCUGAGGGCUGGGCCCAGAGCUAAACCAGGCAGGUCCUCCAUCAUGAUGAUGUCUAAGGAAGGUGAGAUGGGGAAAGGUCAUCAGCAUCUCAGGACUCAACAUAUCCACAGCACACCCUCCCUGCCAACAGCCUAGUCCCCCUGCCUCUGCCCCACAGCCAGCCCUGGGCUCUGUGUGCAUCUCCUGACCACCUUUCUGCUGAGGGCUGUCCCUGAACCCUCCUCUCAUACAAAGCUGUCCUAGGACACAAACUACUCAGUCCCUUCCAACAGCCACUGCCCUGCCAAGAACCCCCAGGGUGACACCUUUACAAUUCUUUGUUGGAAGGAACGCCCACCCCUUGGCCUUCCUACACAUGUUUUGAAGACCUUUGGAGUCUUCAACAUUCUUUGCCUCUGCCCUCUGUGAUCAGCACCUCAGAAUUGGAGCCCCCCAACUUUACCCCAGACUGUACAGUAAGAAUAUAGGAAGAGGGCUGGGGAUUUAG
RNAcentral lists this long non-coding RNA (1982 nucleotides) under Heterocephalus glaber (naked mole-rat). Its description in RNAcentral is "lncRNA (ENSHGLG00000049821.1)". Lineage: Eukaryota; Metazoa; Chordata; Mammalia; Rodentia; Bathyergidae. The record is from RNAcentral.